UGGGGAAUCUUCCGCAAUGGACGAAAGUCUGACGGAGCAACGCCGCGUGAGUGAAGAAGGUUUUCGGAUCGUAAAACUCUGUCUUUUGGGGCGAACGUGAGUAUGGUGAACAAUCAUAGUCAGUGACGGUACCAAAGGAGGAAGCCACGGCUAACUACGUGCCAGCAGCCGCGGUAAUACGUAGGUGGCAAGCGUUGUCCGGAAUUAUUGGGCGUAAAGAGCGCGUAGGCGGGAUAGUCAGUCUGUUGUAAAGUGCGGGGCUCAACCCCGUGAUGGCAAUGGAAACAGCUAUUCUUGAGUGCAGGAGAGGAAAGUGGAAUUCCCAGUGUAGCGGUGAAAUGCGUAGAUAUUGGGAGGAACACCAGUGGCGAAGGCGACUUUCUGGACUGUGUCUGACGCUGAGGCGCGAAAGCCAGGGGAGCGAACGGGAUUAGAUACCCCGGUAGUCCUGGCCGUAAACGAUGGGUACUAGGUGUGGGAGGUAUCGACCCCUUCCGUGCCGGAGUUAACGCAAUAAGUACCCCGCCUGGGGAGUACGGUCGCAAGACUGAAACUUAAAUGAAUUGACGGGGUCAUAGCUGUUUCCU
RNAcentral lists this ribosomal RNA (587 nucleotides) under uncultured bacterium. RNAcentral describes it as "partial 16S ribosomal RNA". It matches the Rfam family "Bacterial small subunit ribosomal RNA", at positions 355 to 1375 of the family's 1533-position model. The record is from RNAcentral.